This 1707-nucleotide long non-coding RNA is filed under the name Homo sapiens (human). Its description in RNAcentral is "PREDICTED lncRNA (TCONS_00071430)". The record is from RNAcentral. Lineage: Eukaryota; Metazoa; Chordata; Mammalia; Primates; Hominidae.
CAAAUUCUUCUCUGUGGACUCUAUGCUUACUGUUCCUGAAGAUGUUCACCAAAUGGGACCAAACCUCCAAAAAAGGAGAAUUUUAAUUUCUUCUUACCCUACUUAGAUGCUGGAUUGCAUAAUGUGGUUGUAAUCUUUAACUAUUUUUUUAAAAAAUAUUUGAGAUUAAAAAAUACUUAGAGGGGCAAUAGUUAGGGCAGGGGAGUGUUCAGUCCCUUUAUGAAGAUGUUUUUUGGCUGGGCUAGCACCUCGGCCUUGUGUUGAAGGAGUGAGAAGUAACUUGUACCACCGGCCACAGCUCUAGCUUGUGUUGGAAGUUUUGCAGAGUUGUUGAUCCUCUGCCAAGUAGACCAGUGAUUCCACCUAAAUGGAUAGAAUCUUCAACUCGGAGGCACCAGUCUCUCUCACUUGAGGAAAGAAUGCGAAGGAAGGAAUGGCCUGACUUCCUCAUGUGUGCCCUGUUUCUCGGUAGGCACCAUGUGGGGGCUGCCACACAUGUGCCGAAGCUUUGGGAACGUUCCGUUUAAAUACCAAUUUCGAUGCCAAUGCCUAACAUGGAGCACAAAUAUCCAGGUACCUCUCUGAUUUCUUCUCUUAUGCUUCAAACUCUUUGAGAACAGAAAUUUUUCUCAUUUGUGUUUGUAUCAUCUGUAGUAUUUAGCAAUGCCUUGCCUAUAGUAGGUAGGUGCUUAAUGACUAUUGUAUUCCAUUAGGGCCUAUUCAGUGAUGGUUUAAGUUUAGAAAAGAGUUUCCCUUGCAUUCAGUUUGCCAGUUUUUGAUCAGCAUCAUUAAAGGAGAACUAGCUUUACCUCUUUAAUAAUUUGUUUAAUUCUAAAUCAGUAAAAUUUUUGUGGUAUGCUGACGACAUGGCCUAAGCUAUUGCAGGAGGUUGAGAUAUUCAAGGUGAUAGAAAAAUAUCUAAGACCAAAUUCCUGUCCUGAAGAAGCUCACAUAGUUGUGGGAGCCAUAGAUAAGAAAGAAGCAUUUACGAAGCACAUCAAAAGUGUCUCAGAAGAGCUGUAUACUUGGCCAUGGGGGCAGCAGCUCCCGCUCAAGCAUCCCCUCAGCCUGCACACCUCCAGGACUUGCUGCUUUCUGUGCUGUUCUCAACACCAGGGUCCUUUCCUCCAGAAGUGGGACCUCUUAAGUGUGAGAAAAGAACUUGUUCUUUUAAGAUGGUACCUGAAUGACUUUUGAAAUUUAAUUAGAACCUGUAGUUUUUCAAAGCCUCCUGUUAUAGACCGAAUGGUACCCUCCUACAUUCAUAUACCGAAGCCCUGACCCUGGCGUGGCUGCAUUUGGAGAUAGGGUCUCUAAGGAGGUGAUUGAGGUUAAAUGAAACCAUAAGAAUGGAGCUCCAAUCCAGUAGUGCUGGUGUCCUUGCAAAGAAGAGGAAGAGGCAUCAGAGAUGCACAAGCAUGGAGAAAAGGCCAUGUGAGGACACAGCAAGAAGGUGGCUGUCUGCAAACCUGGAAGAGUGUCCUCACUAGAAGCCAUCCAUGCUAGCACCUUGAACUCCAGAACCAUGAGAAAAUAAAUUUCUGUUUUUAAGCCACCCAAUCUGUGGUAUUCUGUUACGGCAGCCCAAGUAGACUAGUAUACCAUGCAAAUAGACCACCAUCAUACACUCUAGCAUCAACGGGCACAGGGGGAUUCCCUCAGCUCUCCAUGUUGGGGCAUUUCCUAGUAGUUUGGAAGGUGCUUUCU